This 1071-nucleotide long non-coding RNA is filed under the name Brassica napus (rape). Its description in RNAcentral is "long non-coding RNA (BNAP_LNC009652)". Lineage: Eukaryota; Viridiplantae; Streptophyta; Magnoliopsida; Brassicales; Brassicaceae. The record is from RNAcentral.
AGUUGUUCAUUGGGUGAGUGAUGUGAGGGGUUUAUUUUGGUGUUGAGAUGAUGAUAAAAAAGGUAGAACUUGUGAUCACUUAUAACAAAGGGGGUAGAAUGAUGAGAAUGAAUCUAAGUAUGCAUGAAUUGCUUCUAAUCUUAGAUAAAUUUUCAUAAUGAUCAAGCUCCUUGUUUUUGAGUGAUAACCACCUUGAAAUGAAAACAUUUGAAUCCCUCUUUUCAUUCAUAUUAGACCAUUGCUUACCUAGCCAAAUGAUUGAGAUCAUGUGCCCAUUUGUGAGAAUUCACCCUGUGUGUGUGUUAAUCAAUGUGAGAGCUGGUUGAAGGGACUUGUUAGUUGAGGAGUAUUGCAACUCGUGUAGAGGCAUAAGAGUAGGGAUAGGUCUAGAGAAGCUAGAGUAUAAUAAGAGAGUUGCUCAUGCUAUUUGCUAUGUUUCUUUAGGAUGUUAAUUUGAGUGCAAGGAAGUGUUACUUUUGGCUAUGAGUUCCCACCUUCAAACCUCUCUCCUAUAUGAGUUCUUGCAAGUUCACUUGAGGACAAGUAAAGAACAAGUUUGGGGGAGUUGAUAUCUUGCAUAUUUGCAUCAUUUUAAGUCUCCAAUUUGCACAUAUUGAUCAUAUAGAUUAGGAAUUUAGCAUCUUUAGAAUCCAUAUUGCAUUCAUAUGUCUUAAUCAGGUAAUGGAGUAUCUCAUAGAGUGAUUGGAGGUGUUUAGAAGCAUUGUGGUUCGAAAAGAGACGAAGGGUGAAGUUUGGUCGAGUAUAGAUGAUUGCAACGCGGGCUGUACCACGCAGGUUCACUAACCCGCGUUGACAUGAAACGACGGAGAGCUCCGACGCGGCUAGUGCGACGCGGGAUGCUGUACCUGCUCGCACAAAUAAGGAGAAGCGAGACGACACCACGACACGGGGUGUAGCGACGCGGGUUCCCUUACCCGCAUUGUCGAAGAGAAACCAUCCAUGGGUCACGCGGGGACGACGACGCGGGAUGUUGUACCCGCUCGCGUGAUCAGCAGGUGUAACGACACCACAACGCGGGGUGGAGCGACGUGGGUUCCCUUACCCGCGUUG